CUAUUGAAUUUCUAUAUUUUUUUAUAUUUUUUAUUUGAACUAAAUAAUAAACUUAACAAGAUUUAAAUUUACCAAAUCUACUAUCUUUUUACUUCAAUCUCACAUUCAUAAUCAUAUUAGAUAAAAAGAUACUAUCUUUAUCAAAGUCUUUUGAGUUAUAUUCAUUUUUUGAUUGUAUAGUUUGCAUAGUUUGUAUUAAAGUUGAAAGAUUGUAUAAACUUAAACUUUCUAAUAUAUUUAUGAGUUCUAUCUUGCUUAAAGUAUUAAAAUCAUUUAACAAUCUAAGAUAAUUACUUAUAAUAGAAGAAGAGUGAAUACUAUGAAAUAAAAUUUUAUUUUUUAUAUCUUUUUUAAUAAAAAAUUGAUUAUUUUUUAUAUAAAAAUAAUUUCUAAAAUGAUUAUUGCUUAUU
RNAcentral lists this unclassified non-coding RNA (410 nucleotides) under Campylobacter coli RM2228. Its description in RNAcentral is "sRNA". The record is from RNAcentral. Lineage: Bacteria; Pseudomonadati; Campylobacterota; Epsilonproteobacteria; Campylobacterales; Campylobacteraceae.